Molecule: long non-coding RNA, 551 nt
Organism: Scophthalmus maximus (turbot)
Lineage: Eukaryota; Metazoa; Chordata; Actinopteri; Pleuronectiformes; Scophthalmidae
Exons: 3
Source: RefSeq, a predicted model, not a curated record
CCCCGGUGGGGCCCGGGAGGUGAAAACACGACCUGUGGCGCAAGAAAAAAAACAUACGAUCACCAACGAAUCUGGUGCAAACCGAUGAGAAGUGCUCUCGGGGGGAGCGAAACCACUCACCUGGGUGGUCAAGACGGCGACGCGUCGUGUGUCGGCUCUGUCGUCACGUGGACGACGACAAACAUUUGACAUGAUCUCCAAACGGAUGAAUGAACGUAAACAUCCGGGACGGACAUCGGCCAUGACGCCACGGUGAGGAGGGGAUGGUGGCGGCAGUACGGGCCACUUUCCGAAGACAAUGCUGCAACCGAACCCACAGUCUGAGUGCUGGCUCCCAGACUUGCAGCAGUAACGCCUCCCAAACAGCGUCGCAAACCCCGCCGAGCACUGCGGGACCCUGAUUGGGAACAGAUUUCCCAAAUUCCGAUAGCAUGCCACCUGCCCAGGAUGAUGGAUAGUCCUCCUGUAUCCCAUCAAUCCUCACCUGCUGCCUGGGAGGUGACACCUGGGCCAGAUUUAUCAUCAUAUACGACAUCGAGCUGAGCAGCCAA